RNAcentral lists this ribosomal RNA (430 nucleotides) under uncultured marine bacterium. RNAcentral's name for it is "bacterial SSU rRNA". It matches the Rfam family "Bacterial small subunit ribosomal RNA", at positions 359 to 804 of the family's 1533-position model. The record is from RNAcentral.
AAUUCUUGGCAAUGCAAGGAAAACCUGACAGAGGCAAUACCGCGGGAUGGAAUUAGUAAGCCCAAAGGGUUGUAAACCUCUUUUUUAAGGAAGAAGUUCUGACGUUAUUUAACGAAUAAGCAUCGGCUAACUCCGUGCCAGCAGCCGCGGUAUUACGGAGGAUGCAAGUGUUAUCCGGAAUCACUGGGCGUAAAGCUUCUGUAGGUGGUUUAUUAAGUUUAGGUUAAAUUCUAAGCUCAACUUCAAAACUGUACUAGAAAAUAAUAAACUCGAGGAUAGUAAGGGUAAAGGGAAUUUCCAGUGGAGCGGUGAAAUUGUAGAGAGAGGAAGGACCCGGAAGGCGAAGGCACUUUUCUGGGCUAUUUCUGACACUAAGAGACGAAAGCUAGGGGAGCAAAUGGGAUUAGAUACCCCAGUAGUCCUAGCCGUA